This 581-nucleotide ribosomal RNA is filed under the name uncultured freshwater bacterium. RNAcentral's name for it is "bacterial SSU rRNA". It matches the Rfam family "Bacterial small subunit ribosomal RNA", at positions 8 to 601 of the family's 1533-position model. The record is from RNAcentral.
AGAGUUUGAUCCUGGCUCAGGACGAACGCUGGCGGCGUGCUUAACACAUGCAAGUCACGGGGGCCCGCAAGGGUAACCGGCGAACGGGUGCGUAACACGUGAGCAAUCUGCCGUCCACUGGGGGAUAGCCGGCCCAACGGCCGGGUAAUACCGCAUACGCUUGUCGGGUGGCAUCGCCUGACAAGGAAACCUCCGGGGGUGGACGAGGAGCUCGCGGCCUAUCAGCUAGUUGGUGGGGUAACGGCCUACCAAGGCAUUGACGGGUAGCUGGUCUGAGAGGAUGGCCAGCCACAUUGGGACUGAGAUACGGCCCAGACUCCUACGGGAGGCAGCAGUGGGGAAUAUUGCGCAAUGGCCGCAAGGCUGACGCAGCGACGCCGCGUGGGGGAUGAAGCAUUUCGGUGUGUAAACCCCUGUUGCUCGGGACGAACCUCCCUUUUCGAGGGGACUGACGGUACCGGGUGAGGAAGCACCGGCUAACUCCGUGCCAGCAGCCGCGGUAAUACGGAGGGUGCGAGCGUUGUCCGGAAUCACUGGGCGUAAAGGGCGCGUAGGCGGUCUGCUAAGCGUGUGGUGAAAGC